This is a long non-coding RNA of Populus trichocarpa (black cottonwood), 1541 nucleotides long. RefSeq lists it as uncharacterized. The transcript is spliced from 3 exons. The record is from RefSeq and is a predicted model, not a curated record. Lineage: Eukaryota; Viridiplantae; Streptophyta; Magnoliopsida; Malpighiales; Salicaceae.
AUUACGAGGAAGUUGGUCAAUAGGCUAUUAAGAAUUUUGAAAUUCAUGGAUGUUAAAACACUUUUGACAGUGGUAAAACUAAAACUACUCCAAAACAAAUAACCACCACAUUAACUAAAGGGGUGAGAGCCAUAGUGACGUACAGAAAAAAUGGGAAGCAUAUCACCACUUUACUCAUAGUCUUGAGAAAAUGGUGAGUUUUUCACUUUAUUUUUGGUGAUGUACUGUACUGUUGAGUAAUUCUUUGAAAUGGGUUUUUGUUUUUGGUUACAGAUAAGAAUUGAUGGUGAAGUUGUUAAAGAGCCCUAUACAAUCCUUGGGUAGAUUUCUGUUAAAAACCAAAUAAAAGAAUUUCAUGUGUAUUUUUUGUGUAGAAAGGGAUCAUGAUUUUUUAGGGAUGGUUCGGAAUUGGCCUAUCAUAGGCUCCGUGGAGAGAGCCUGAUGCGCCUUGCUUCAAGUUUCAUGUGAAGGUGAUGAUCAGAUUGCUUUGAACGAGCUGUCCGGUCUUCAAGGUUUAAUGCAACUCUAGUGGAGGGAAAGCAAGGACAUCUCUUCCCUAGCAAGCCAAGGAUCACAUCCUGUUCAUCACCUUCAUCAGGUUAGCUACUGGUGCUGAAUAAAUGAAUGACUAAAUUUUGGAAAUGUGCACGUGAUAAUUGCACUCUUUUUCCAAUUUCAUUAGUCAGUCAGGAGGAAGCUUUGCUUAUGAGGACUACUUUACACUACUACAUUGCAUUGAUAUGAAAAUAAGAAAUGCUGACAAGCGAAGACCUGGCAUAAUUUUCUUCUGUUCUGCUUUAACUGAAGAAACGGUUCUUGACAUAAUAGUGUGACAGCCAAUGUCAUGGUUGUAAACCAGAAUAUAUUUUGCUGAUAAAACGUAUUCGAUUCCCUCAUGUAUAGCAAUACCAACAUGGAGCAGAGAAUAAAAUGGAAGAUUUCAAAGAUAUACCUAGCACUAGUGAAUGGGAUACUGAAUCAGGAUAGGUAACACCUUGGCUCAACCACUGUCUUUUGCUUCCUUUUCUGUUUGUGGCAUUUGUAAUCUUCUGGUUAUGCUGUGAUUUCUUCUUUGGUUGGCAAUGAUUAUUUUGUGUUUAUAAUGCUGACAACUUGAAGAACCAUCUGUAUCCAGUGGUUGUUUGUUUUUCUCAAUCACGCCAUUCCUUGCAAAUAACUUUUCAUGAUAAGAAUCAGGAUAGGUAACAAUGCGUUUCCCUGGAGUGGCCAAAGGGCUGUGUGUUGCUUCACCCUCAGGAUAAUCAUCUUUGAGCAAAGUUGAAGUCCAUGAGAGAGAUGCACAAGGAAACCACACAUUGGUCCAGGCUGAGAUUGAAUCAGGACGCCCACGCCAGAUUUGCCUUCACUCUUUCAUAGGGCAUCCUUUGCUGGGUAGACCUUAGUGUGGAUAGGUUUUUACUGUGUAUUUGAAUGAAGUCUACACCCUUGUCAACAUUCAGAAGGCAAUUGAUAUGGGAAUGAAAGCUGUUUAUCGCUACAGAGUGUUUAUUAUGGUUCAUUAAUUGCUAAUUCGAUAUGUG